RNAcentral lists this ribosomal RNA (1479 nucleotides) under metagenome. Its description in RNAcentral is "bacterial SSU rRNA". It matches the Rfam family "Bacterial small subunit ribosomal RNA". The record is from RNAcentral.
AGAGUUUGAUCCUGGCUCAGGACGAACGCUGGCGGCGUGCCUAACACAUGCAAGUCGAGCGGAGACAGUGAGUAGCUUGCUAUGAGCUGUUUUAGCGGCGGACGGGUGAGUAACGCGUGAGCAACCUUUCCCAGACAGGGGAAUAACACACCGAAAGGUGUACUAAUACCGCGUAAGACCACGGGAUCACAUGGUUCUGGGGUAAAAGAUUUAUCGGUUUGGGGUGGGCUCGCGUCCGAUUAGGUAGUUGGUGAGGUAACGGCCCACCAAGCCGACGAUCGGUAGCCGACCUGAGAGGGUGAUCGGCCACAUUGGGACUGAGACACGGCCCAAACUCCUACGGGAGGCAGCAGUGGGAAUAUUGGGCAAUGGAGGAAACUCUGACCCAGCAACGCCGCGUGGAGGAAGAAGGUUUUCGGAUCGUAAACUCCUGUCCUUGGAGACGAGUAGAAGACGGUAUCCAAGGAGGAAGCCCCGGCUAACUACGUGCCAGCAGCCGCGGUAAUACGUAGGGGGCAAGCGUUGUCCGGAAUAAUUGGGCGUAAAGGGCGCGUAGGCGGCUCGGUAAGUCUGGAGUGAAAGUCCUGCUUUUAAGGUGGGAAUUGCUUUGGAUACUGUCGGGCUUGAGUGCAGGAGAGGUUAGUGGAAUUCCCAGUGUAGCGGUGAAAUGCGUAGAGAUUGGGAGGAACACCAGUGGCGAAGGCGACUAACUGGACUGUAACUGACGCUGAGGCGCGAAAGUGUGGGGAGCAAACAGGAUUAGAUACCCUGGUAGUCCACACUGUAAACGAUGAAUGCUAGGUGUAGGGGGUAUCGACCCCUUCUGUGCCGCAGUCAACACAAUAAGCAUUCCGCCUGGGGAGUACGGCCGCAAGGUUGAAACUCAAAGGAAUUGACGGGGGCCCGCACAAGCAGCGUAGCAUGUGGUUUAAUUCGACGCAACGCGAAGAACCUUACCAGGUCUUGACAUCCACUUAAACUUACAGAGAUGUAAGGUGUGCUUGCACAAAGUGAGACAGGUGGUGCAUGGUUGUCGUCAGCUCGUGUCGUGAGAUGUUGGGUUAAGUCCCGCAACGAGCGCAACCCUUAUCUUCAGUUACUAACGCGUGAGGGUGAGGACUCUGAAGAGACUGCCGGGGACAACUCGGAGGAAGGUGGGGACGACGUCAAAUCAUCAUGCCCCUUAUGACCCGGGCUACACACGUGCUACAAUGGCCACGACAGAGAGAAGCGAAAUCGCAAGGUAGAGCGGAACUCAAAAAAGUGGUCCCAGUUCGGAUUGUGGGCUGCAACCCGCCCACAUGAAGUCGGAGUUGCUAGUAAUCGCGGAUCAGCAUGCCGCGGUGAAUACGUUCCCGGGCCUUGUACACACCGCCCGUCACACCAUGGGAGUUGGGAGUGCCCAAAGCCGGUGAGGCAACGGCAAGGAGCCAGCCGUCUAAGGCAAGACCAAUGACUGGGGUGAAGUCGAACAAGGUA